This 526-nucleotide ribosomal RNA is filed under the name uncultured bacterium. RNAcentral describes it as "bacterial SSU rRNA". It matches the Rfam family "Bacterial small subunit ribosomal RNA", at positions 774 to 1297 of the family's 1533-position model. The record is from RNAcentral.
ACGUAAUAGAUACCCUGGUAGUCCACGCCCUAAACGAUGUCUACUAGUUGUUGGUGGAGUAAAAUCCAUGAGUAAACGCAGCUAAACGCGUGAAGUAGACCGCCUGGGGAGUACGGUCGCAAGAUUAAAACUCAAAUGAAUUGACGGGGGCCCGCACAAGCGGUGGAUUAUGUGGAUUAAUUCGAUGCAACGCGAAAACCUUACCUGGCCUUGACAUGUAACGAACUUUCCAGAGAUGGAUUGGUGCUCGAAAGAGAACGUUAACACAGGUGCUGCAUGGCUGUCGUCAGCUCGUGUCGUGAGAUGUUGGGUUAAGUCCCGCAACGAGCGCAACCCUUGCCAUUAAUUGCCAUCAUUUAGUUGGGCACUUUAAUGGGACUGCCGGUGACAAACCGGAGGAAGGUGGGGAUGACGUCAAGUCCUCAUGGCCCUUAUGGCCAGGGCUUCACACGUAAUACAAUGGUCGGUACAGAGGGUUGCCAACCCGCGAGGGGAGCCAAUCCCAGAAAGCCGAUCGUAGUCCGGA